Molecule: ribosomal RNA, 550 nt
Filed under: uncultured bacterium
Lineage: Bacteria
Description: bacterial SSU rRNA
Rfam family: Bacterial small subunit ribosomal RNA
Source: RNAcentral
GGGGAAUCUUCCGCAAUGGGCGAAAGCCUGACGGAGCAACGCCGCGUGAGUGAAGACGGCCUUCGGGUUGUAAAGCUCUGUUAUACGGGACGAAUAAUCUUGUGGUUAAUACCCAUAAGAAGUGACGGUACCGUAAGAGAAAGCCACGGCUAACUACGUGCCAGCAGCCGCGGUAAUACGUAGGUGGCAAGCGUUGUCCGGAAUUAUUGGGCGUAAAGGGCGCGCAGGCGGCUUCUUAAGUCUGUCUUAAAAGUGCGGGGCUUAACCCCGUGAUGGGAUGGAAACUAGGAAGCUCAGAGUAUCGGAGAGGAAAGCGGAAUUCCUAGUGUAGCGGUGAAAUGCGUAGAUAUUAGGAGGAACACCAGUGGCGAAAGCGGCUUUCUGGACGAAAACUGACGCUGAGGCGCGAAAGCCAGGGGAGCGAACGGGAUUAGAUACCCCGGUAGUCCUGGCCGUAAACGAUGGGUACUAGGUGUAGGAGGUAUCGACCCCUUCUGUGCCGGAGUUAACGCAAUAAGUACCCCGCCUGGGGAGUACGGCCGCAAGGUUG